Molecule: non-coding RNA, 74 nt
Organism: Potamilus streckersoni
Lineage: Eukaryota; Metazoa; Mollusca; Bivalvia; Unionida; Unionidae
Source: the annotation of a GenBank genome assembly
CGCUCUGAUGGCCUAAUGGUUGAAACGUCCGCCUCGGAUACGGGAGGUCGUGGGUUCGAUCCCCGGCCGAGUGA